UACAGGGGGUGCUAGCGUUGUUCGGAAUUACUGGGCGUAAAGGGCGCGUAGGCGGUUUUACAAGUCAGGAGUGAAAUCCCGGGGCUUAACCUCGGAAUUGCUUUUGAAACUGUAAGGCUAGAGUGUAUUAGAGGAUGGCGGAAUUCCUAGUGUAGAGGUGAAAUUCGUAGAUAUUAGGAAGAACACCGGUGGCGAAGGCGGCCAUCUGGGAUACAACUGACGCUGAGGCGCGAAAGCGUGGGGAUCAAACAGG
This 253-nucleotide ribosomal RNA is filed under the name uncultured bacterium. RNAcentral's name for it is "partial 16S ribosomal RNA". It matches the Rfam family "Bacterial small subunit ribosomal RNA", at positions 524 to 776 of the family's 1533-position model. The record is from RNAcentral.